CGGGACGGGUGAGUAAUGUCUGGGAAACUGCCCGAUGGAGGGGGGUAACUACUGGAAACGGUAGCUAAUACCGCAUAACGUCGCAAGACCAAAGAGGGGGACCUUAGGGCCUCUUGCCAUCGGAUGUGCCCAGAUGGGAUUAGCUAGUAGGUGGGGUAAUGGCUCACCUAGGCGACGAUCCCUAGCUGGUCUGAGAGGAUGACCAGCCACACUGGAACUGAGACACGGUCCAG
This 233-nucleotide ribosomal RNA is filed under the name uncultured bacterium. RNAcentral's name for it is "partial 16S ribosomal RNA". It matches the Rfam family "Bacterial small subunit ribosomal RNA", at positions 100 to 334 of the family's 1533-position model. The record is from RNAcentral.